RNAcentral lists this transfer RNA (65 nucleotides) under Melanastera paucipunctata. RNAcentral's name for it is "Diclidophlebia paucipunctata tRNA-Gln". The record is from RNAcentral. Lineage: Eukaryota; Metazoa; Arthropoda; Insecta; Hemiptera; Liviidae.
CUAUAUUUAAGUGGAACCAUACAAAUUUUUGAAAUUUGUGAAUUUAAUUUUAAUUAUGAAAUAUA